RNAcentral lists this long non-coding RNA (275 nucleotides) under Hordeum vulgare. RNAcentral describes it as "long non-coding RNA (HVUL_LNC018147)". Lineage: Eukaryota; Viridiplantae; Streptophyta; Magnoliopsida; Poales; Poaceae. The record is from RNAcentral.
AGUCCGUAGUGAAAUCUUUAAAAAGACAAAUACUUAGGAACGGAGGGAGUAGGUCACAUUUUCCUUGGAAACUUCUGGAUGGCAUUGUUCCGGGGUUUGUUUGGUGACUGCUAGGCGUUAUUCGGAUGUAGGAAAGGUAAAAUACAUCCGUCAUCUCUAGCGAUCUGAUGAAAGUCAACGCAACAUACUCUUCCCUCUUGUUUUUUCUUUUCAUCCAGAACGCACACAUAACCUCGCCUCCAUAGCAAGCUCUGGUGGCAUCGCAGAACGCCGGC